GACGUAGGUGGCGAACGUUAUCCGGAAUUAUUGGGCGUAAAGGAUGCGUAGAUGGUGUAGUAAGUUAUCGGUGGCAAAUCGAGGCUCAACCUCGUGGAAGUGGGUAAUACUGCUAUGCUAGAGGAUAGGAGAGGUUAACGGAACUCCCUGUGGAGCGGUGAAAUGCGUAGAUAUAGGGAAGAACACCAAUCAGGCGAAGGCAGUUAACUAUUCUAUUCCUGACAUUGAGGCAUGAAAGCGUGGGGAGCAAAACGG
RNAcentral lists this ribosomal RNA (255 nucleotides) under uncultured bacterium. RNAcentral's name for it is "partial 16S ribosomal RNA". It matches the Rfam family "Bacterial small subunit ribosomal RNA", at positions 524 to 776 of the family's 1533-position model. The record is from RNAcentral.